RNAcentral lists this long non-coding RNA (4210 nucleotides) under Mytilus galloprovincialis (Mediterranean mussel). The record is from RNAcentral. Lineage: Eukaryota; Metazoa; Mollusca; Bivalvia; Mytilida; Mytilidae.
GUAGCAACUAAUAUGGUAUAAAUUUAGGUCUACUAACAAAUAUCGACAUUGUGGCAAAGACAUCACAGGGCUUAAUAUGGGGAUAUUCGGGGAUGCAAAACCUAUAACUGUAGCUGGCUUUCUAAGUGCUAUUGUUUCUUUUGUGUUACAAUUAAUUGGCUUCGCGACCCCUUUUUGGACAUAUGUCAAAAUAGAAGGUGUAGCAGUUCAUAGUGGUUUAUGGCAAGCAUGUCUUUCGACGACAUGUACAAGUGGCUGUGGUAUGUUCAUUGCUAUUGUUCAUUAUACAAUAAAUUCAAUAAAUGCACGUAAGUAACCAUACUACCGACAUGUUUUUAUUUUACUUUUAAAAUAUUUGUGAAUCAAUAUAUAGUGACGAAAAUGCAAACUAUACUAAAAUAACUUCAAACUCAUUAUUCGAAUAAAAUGACUUAGCCAUGAAAAAAAAUAAUAAAAAGAAAACUAAAGACUUUAAAACAAUAUGAAUCCAUUCUAUAAUCAGGAUGAUCUCGGAUGAUUUAGAAAGGACAGAAGAUUCUGAUCCACAUGUUUCACCCGUCUUGACAACAGAUUGAAUAGCGUAUCUGAUAGAUGAGUUAUUUGAUACAAGAACCACUGGGUAUAAUGUUAUAUGUUCACUGUAUUCAAACUCGAGACGAUUUUGAGCUCUACAUUUAGUUGAGACACUUGUUUAUUAUUAUAGUUAUCAAAGGUAUCAGGGUGACACUCAUUGUUUCCCUUUUUCAUUUUGUUUGAUACUUGUGUCAUUGACAUAUGUCUUCUUUUAAUAGUUAUGUUAUGUUGUGAUACAACUAAUUUCAUGCGUCAUGUGAAGUGUUUAAAAUCUUUUAAAAAAAAAUUGUCCAAAGUUGUAUUUUGAUUUUUAGUUGUAAUAAUGAAAAUGUUAUAUUUACCCUCAUAAUAGUUGUAAUUUGUCUGCGAUCGGGGAAUAUGCAAGUAUUAUGUUUGUGUCAAAUUAAUAACCAUUUAAGUAUCGAGAACAUUUUUACUUAAACUUAACAAUAACUGUGGAAAUUUUUUACAUGGAAAAGUUUUGGUGCCAGCUGGAAAGAUUCAAAGAUAACAUUUGUGUCAAAUAAACAACAUUGUACUUGUUGAAUCUUUCGUUCAAGAAAUACAGGAGGGGGAAUUUAUUAUAUGUGUACUCCAGAUAAAAUUAUGUUUGUGCUAAGUAAAUAAUUAAUUAUAGUUAUACUAAUUAUAAUUUAUAAACGUAGGAGUAUUUGGUUGUCCCAAUGCAUUGAAAGGAACCCAGGCAUUAGAAACAUUAGCGUUCAUCAUCUUAAUGGCUGCUGUUGUCCUUGUAGCAGUUCAGUUAUUUGUGAUGAAGGAUAAAGAUAUCAUGAAGAAAGCAGGAGCAGUUUGUUGUAUUGUAGCAGGUAUUGUUAAGAACAAGUAUAAUUUUCAAACUAUACACCUAAUCGCUAUUUGUCCGCCAUUACUGGAUAUCACACAGGUUCCCGUAAAAUUUUUAAAAGAGUUUUUGCAGUUUAAUUUUUAUCAGAUAGAAAAUUUCAUUGAGUACAUAUUUUUGCGUUAACAAAGAAAUAUAUUCAUUCGCCAGGCAUAUACAGUGACAUAAAUAUACAAUUUACGUGUAAUAGAGGUAACGAGUGUGAAAAAUUAUAUUCCCUAUCUCCAAUUUAAAAGAAUUAUAAGGAUUAAACGCCUUUUUAAAGGAAUUCAUAGGUGUAUAUUCUGGACCAAGUCACUCACAAACAAAUCAUAAAAGUCCUUGUGAGUGAAUUGGUCCAGUUUAUACUCCAAUAAAUUCCUUUAAAAAGGCGUUUAAUCCUAUGAUAAAUACUGUGAACGUUUUGUGUAUAUCUAUAUAUUUUUACCUAUGUCGAAAGACGUGCAUAGUAUCAAAUCAUAAAAAUACAAAUUGUUUAGUCUCUAGGAAAUCUUGUAAGAUUUCCGCUGCUAUUUUUGAUUUUUGCUUAACAGAUGCAAUUUGGGUACCGUGACGUUAUAUACUAGUUCAGUGAUAAUGGAUGUCAUACUAAACUCCAAAUUAUACACAAGAAACUAAAAUUAAAAAUAAUACAAGACUAAUAAAGGCAAGAGGCUCCUGACUUGGGACGGGCGCAAAAAUGCGAUGGGGUUAACAUGUUUAGGAAAUCUCAACCCUUUCCCUAUCCCUCACUCUCUAUAUAUAUACAUGUAUUACAUAACUUGUAAACACCAAAAAUUGUAAAACACAACAGUUACACAAAAGAAUGUUGUCAUGGUUUUAUCCAUGAACCUCGCAUUAAAAAAUGAAAGAUGAACAUUGCAUUGGAACAGAAGAAUAGUAAUGCAAAUCUUUUAUUAUGUUGCAUUUUUUUAAGAAAGGAUUUUGUCGACUCAACACUUUGUCCUAAUUGUAAAAUGAAAAGAUAAGGAAGUAAAUAUACAUUUACAUAAUUCCUUUUUUAUGUUGAACAAAGGCUUGUUUUAUUUUUGCAGGUGUUUUUGCAAUCAUUGGAGCUAUAGUAUAUGCUACUCAAAAAGGUUUACAAAUAAGUACACUUCAUUUUUCGUUUGCGUUUUGUGUCAUCGCUGCAGUUGGUGGAAUAGUUGCCGGUGUUCUAUUAAUAAUUGGAUAAUACUGGCUAUUUGAUACGGUAUUAAGAUCAUAUAAGUACAUAGAAAUUGGUGAUAACGUCAAGAAAUUUACUGGACUAAUCAGAAUAUUUUGUUAAUUUGAAUCUUGACAUCGGAACAAAUCGUUCAUUUAAGUGUCAAUCUUAUUAAAAAAGUAUUAAUGAAAUACCGAACUAAAUCACUAUGCAAUAUCUAUGAGCAAAAUCCAAACAUUACUACUAAAUACUUAAGUCAGGGAUUUUGUUACCACAAAUUAAUAAAAAAAAAACCACUUUAUUUAUUUCUUCCAUAGAUACAGAUUGUUUUGCUGUAUAAUUUUUGUAACAUUUUGAAUUUUUUUAUAAGGAGAUUGAAACCAUACAAGAUAUUGUUAUAAUACAAAUAUGUUAUAUAACGGUACUACAUUCUGUCGAUAUGAAUAUUUUUGCAUUGUUCAAAAACAUAUUGUUCACAGACUGUAAAUUACGUCUGUACAUCCAAUCCAUUGGAUGUUGGGUGUAUCUUGAUUGAUAUAUUUGUUCCUCGUAAAUUAUUUUGGUAUAAUUUAGGCUCUUGGUUUCUCAAUUGAGCUGUUUCAUAUUUAUUCAUGCCUUGAAGGUCAAACGGUUAACUAUAAUCACUGACAUCCACCUCAUUUGAACAGUGGAAAGUUGUCUCAUUGGCAAUCAUACCACAUUAUCUUUAUAUUAUAGGUAUAUUCAAAAAGGAAAAGUCCAUAAAACUGACAAAAUAAUCAAGUCUACUUCAUCAACAAACGGAACAAAUAGAAAUCGUAAUUUGUUUACCUAUUUACUACUAACUUUUGAUCUUGAUCUUUAUGUCUUUUAAAGCGGGAGGUUUGGCAUGCCACAAAACCAGGUUCAACCCUCCAUUUUGUUUUCUUAAAAUGUUCUGUACCAUGUCAGAAAAGUGGCCAUUGUUAUAUUAUAGUUCGUUUCUGUGUGUGUUACUUUUCAAUAUUUUGUUUCUAUUGUGUUGUAGUUUUCUUAUGAUUGACGCGUUUCCCUCAGUUUUAUUUUGUAACCCGGAUUUGUUUCGAACAGCGGUAUACUAUUGUUUGCUUUUUAAACAUCAUUUCGUUGUUAAAAUUUAAUAAUUUGCAAGUAAACUACCAAUCAACCCUGCGGUUUCCAGCAGGCUCUGUGUCACUUGAAAAAAACGUAUAUCGUAGUGUAAUUAGAAGGCCCCCGGAUUACAAAAAAAAAUGAGCAACUAAAUUGAUCUGAUUGAAGCGUAUAACAUCAAUCAAAAUUAAUAACGACAGAAAAAAACAACAACUGCACAUUUUUGCUAACGAGUUUUGUUUAUAUUUCUUUUAGUGAUUAAUUGAUACAUAUGAUGUGGCUCUGUACUUCUACAUCCCGUUUUUGUGGUAUAGUAAAAUAUUUUUGUCUCCUUAUCAUUCAGUUUUGCUAAUAUGCUUAGUCUAUAUGCCUUUUUAUGUUUCACUGAUAUAUAUAUGACGUGGCUCUGUACUUAAACAUCCCAUCAUUGUAUUAAUGUAUUAUGGUAAAUUGUGUAUUAUUGUCUUUAUUUUUUGCAAAUAUGCUUGGUCUAUCUGUCAUUUUGUGCUUCUGUGUUACAUAUUUGUUUUUGUUUUUUA